CGGCGGCCAAGCCCCAGUGUUUGGGUGGCGCGCGGUGACCCCGCCUCCACCCUCGCGCGCCUCCCUACGUAUUGGCUCCUGCCUUCCUGGCCCCGCCUUCCCGGGCCGAGGCCUGCCUGCCGAACUCCGCCCAGCCAAGGUACAGCGGUGUGGUAGGCGCUAGCCGCCGAGGACUCGGUGAUGGACAGGUUCGUGGCCCCACCCCCUCAGCCGUAGCGCGCCCCUGCCUCCACAGAGGAGCACACGCGGAUUGGAGAGAAGGAGCCCCUGGUGACGCCAAUCAGAAGGCGGCCCCUCCUCCCGCACGUGGCCUGAGGACGCAGGAGAAGAGCGCAUCGCUUCCACCGUUCCCCGGCCAGACUGGUGUCCUCUGUCCCGAGUCCUUCGAUUUGGAUGCUAGCUACUCUCUUCGUUGAUAUUGUUGCACACUCUGAUUUUUUUAUGAAGAAUUCAGACACUCACAGUUAUGAUAAAAAGAAGAGAACUGCGAAAACAAAAGAGAUACCCGAAAAGGCUGAAGGUUGGCUUCUGGAAAUGCCAAAUGAAGCAGGCCAUCUUGAAACACUCUGGCUCUAAGAAACAUACGUUGAAGGGGGUGGGGAAGACUCCCCCACAGCUGGAGAUUUGCAAGUUGACCAAGUCCCCUGGAGAAGCUAAGCUCCCCAGGGAGCAGCAGUCCUCUGGAGUGUCUGAGCCCUCUGUGCUGGCCAGUUCCACAGACAGGACCCGGAUUGGGUUGAGCCACAAGAGCCGCUCUUUGCUGCGGGUGCCCCGGACGGCCGUGCGGUCAGCUUCCAUGAUCAUGCUCUCUGCCCUGCAGUCCAGCUGGCAAAUGUGCUGGUGGAAGCCAUCUGCCAGCUCUGCCUCCAUUUCCUCCCAGUUGAGGACCUCGUCCCCUCUGGACACGCCCGAGGCCGAGCUGCUGCGAGAGGUGUACCUGGUGCUGUGGGCCAUUCGGAAGCAACUUCGGCACCUGGCCCGCCGACAGGAGAGACACAGAAGCCACCACCACGUCAGGACCUACUCCUCUGCCUUGGCCGAACCAGUGCUAGAACUGAAGAAGGAUGCUAGAAGUCCCCUACACAGGACAGCCUUGCCAGAUCACAGGAGUUCCCACAAUCUGAAAAGGCUUCACCAACACAAGGGCCACUCCUACCCACUACCUUCAGCAUCAGUCCUGUGAUGUCCAGCACUCACACCUGUGAAGCCCGGAGGUCACAGCACACGGGGCACUCUGCACCACAGCUGUCUCCAGUACAAGCCCACA
Molecule: long non-coding RNA, 1267 nt
Filed under: Chinchilla lanigera (long-tailed chinchilla)
Lineage: Eukaryota; Metazoa; Chordata; Mammalia; Rodentia; Chinchillidae
Description: lncRNA (ENSCLAG00000026972.1)
Source: RNAcentral